GUAGUCUUAAAGGGAAAGUCUAGGGAGACCCUUGCCUUAGUUGCCUACGGGGAAUAAGAAGUCAGCAGCCAUUGAAAGGUUUGUCUUGCUGUGCUGAUGGUGACAUAGCAGAGUGGGGGCUGGUGUUGGUUGGUGGUAGUUUGUCGUUCACGGCCUCUGUCCUGAUAUUGCCCAAGAACACCAGGCUAUCAGCUCAGCCUUGUGCGUUAGAACGGGUUAUCUUGGUGAGUAGAUAGGGUUUUUAUGAAGGAAAAUGCCAGAGGAAAAAGGGAAGCACUGCCGAGGGAUCAAGGCUGCUUUAGGGAUCAAGGCUGCUUUCUAGCAUCUCAUUUCCGCUUCCAGAUGCCCCUUGGUGUGGCCACUGCAAGGCUCUGGCCCCUGAGUAUGCCAAAGCCGCUGGGAAACUGAAGGCAGAAGGUUCCGAGAUCAGGUUGGCCAAGGUGGACGCCACGGAGGAGUCUGACCUGGCCCAGCAGUACGGCGUGCGCGGCUAUCCCACCAUCAAGUUCUUCAGGAAUGGAGACACGGCUUCCCCCAAGGAAUAUACAGCUGGCAGAGAGGCCGAUGACAUCGUGAACUGGCUGAAGAAGCGCACGGGCCCGGCUGCCACCACCCUGCCUGACGGCGCAGCUGCAGAGUCCUUGGUGGAGUCCAGCGAGGUGGCUGUCGUCGGCUUCUUCAAGGACGUGGAGUCAGACUCUGCCAAGCAGUUUUUGCAGGCAGCAGAGGCCAUCGAUGACAUACCAUUUGGGAUCACUUCCAACAGUGACGUGUUCUCCAAAUACCAGCUCGACAAAGAUGGGGUUGUCCUCUUUAAGAAGUUUGAUGAAGGCCGGAACAACUUUGAAGGGGAGGUCACCAAGGAGAACCUGCUGGACUUUAUCAAACACAACCAGCUGCCCCUUGUCAUCGAGUUCACCGAGCAGACAGCCCCGAAGAUUUUUGGAGGUGAAAUCAAGACUCACAUCCUGCUGUUCUUGCCCAAGAGUGUGUCUGACUAUGAUGGCAAACUGAGCAACUUCAAAACAGCAGCCGAGAGCUUCAAGGGCAAG
RNAcentral lists this small RNA (1052 nucleotides) under Pongo abelii (Sumatran orangutan). RNAcentral describes it as "retained intron". Lineage: Eukaryota; Metazoa; Chordata; Mammalia; Primates; Hominidae. The record is from RNAcentral.